Molecule: ribosomal RNA, 236 nt
Filed under: uncultured bacterium
Lineage: Bacteria
Description: partial 16S ribosomal RNA
Rfam family: Bacterial small subunit ribosomal RNA
Source: RNAcentral
UGGCGGACGGGUGGGUAAUGUCUGGGGAAACUGCCUGAUGGAGGGGGGUAACUACUGGAAACGGUAGCUAAUACCGCAUAACGUCGCAAGACCAAAGAGGGGGACCUUCGGGCCUCUUGCCAUCGGAUGUGCCCAGAUGGGAUUAGCUAGUAGGUGGGGUAACGGCUCACCUAGGCGACGAUCCCUAGCUGGUCUGAGAGGAUGACCAGCCACACUGGAACUGAGACACGGUCCAG